UACGUAGGGGGCAAGCGUUGUCCGGAAUCAUUGGGCGUAAAGAGCGUGUAGGCGGCUUGGUAAGUCCGCUGUGAAAGUCCAGGGCUCAACCCUGGAAUGCCGGUGGAAACUGUCAAGCUUGAGUCCGGAAGAGGCGAGUGGAAUUCCUGGUGUAGCGGUGAAAUGCGCAGAUAUCAGGAGGAACACCAAUGGCGAAGGCAGCUCGCUGGGACGUGACUGACGCUGAGACGCGAAAGCGUGGGGAGCAAACAGG
Molecule: ribosomal RNA, 253 nt
Filed under: uncultured bacterium
Lineage: Bacteria
Description: partial 16S ribosomal RNA
Rfam family: Bacterial small subunit ribosomal RNA
Source: RNAcentral